This is an unclassified non-coding RNA of Macaca fascicularis (crab-eating macaque), 283 nucleotides long. It matches the Rfam family "Metazoan signal recognition particle RNA". Rfam says of the family: The signal recognition particle (SRP) is a universally conserved ribonucleoprotein. It is involved in the co-translational targeting of proteins to membranes. Lineage: Eukaryota; Metazoa; Chordata; Mammalia; Primates; Cercopithecidae. The record is from Ensembl.
GCCAGGCGCAGCAGCACAUGCCUGUGGUCCCAGCUAGUUGGGAGGCUGAGACAAGAGGAUCGCCUGAGUCCAGAAAUUCUGGGCUAUAGUGCACUAAGUCAAUUGGGUAUCUGCACUAAGUUUGGCAUAAACGUGAGGGACCACAAGGUUGCCUACGGAGAGGUGAACCAGACCAGGAAAGAAACAGAGCAAGUCAAAACUCCUGUCCUGAUGAGUAGUGGGACUGCACCUGUGCAUAACCACUAUGUUCCAGCUUGGGCAUCAUAACAAGACCGUAUCUCUU